GCUGAGAUUGUCCUCAGCUUUGAGAACAAGAAACUUCCCAUCCAUCACAUUCCUGGUCCAGAGGGAGUGCGAGGUCGAAACUCAGAUAACACUCUGAUUAAAGAGAAGCUGGGAUGGGCCCCUUCUAUGAAAUUAAAGGAUGGGCUUAGAAUCACGUACUUCUGGAUUAAGGAGCAGAUUGAAAAAGAAAAAGCUCAAGGUGUUGAUUUAACUGUUUAUGGUUCAUCAAAAGUAGUGGGAACUCAAGCACCUUUUCAACUGGGCUCUCUACGAGCUGCUGAUGGCGAAGAACGAGGCUAAAGUUUGUGUGUAUGUUGUGCCAGGG
RNAcentral lists this unclassified non-coding RNA (325 nucleotides) under Hevea brasiliensis (rubber tree). Lineage: Eukaryota; Viridiplantae; Streptophyta; Magnoliopsida; Malpighiales; Euphorbiaceae. The record is from RNAcentral.